UGUGGGUCCAAGAAGCAGCAAGUCUUCAGGUAGGGGGCCCAGUGGCUAGAAUGGGAGUUAACCAAUCAGAGCUCCAGGGCCAGCCAGGCUGGCCUCUUCCCAGUGCUGUCUGUUGGGAGGAUGGCUAGCAGCCAUGACUAAUCAAUCAGAUCCCUGCUGCUGAGGCUUGUAGGCUGCAGGCAAAGAAGGUCUGGCUCCACUCGGCCCAGGGUGGAGUGAUGACAGGACCCAGGCUCAGGGUGGUGACCCCGUGUGUUACAGAAUAAAACUGGAGGGGUGAAUUCCUUGAGAAAUUG
RNAcentral lists this non-coding RNA (296 nucleotides) under Loxodonta africana (African savanna elephant). RNAcentral's name for it is "Bag-1 internal ribosome entry site (IRES)". It matches the Rfam family "Bag-1 internal ribosome entry site (IRES)", at positions 53 to 370 of the family's 370-position model. From Rfam's summary of the family: This family represents the bag-1 internal ribosome entry site (IRES). When expressed the BAG-1 protein is known to enhance the anti-apoptotic properties of Bcl-2. Lineage: Eukaryota; Metazoa; Chordata; Mammalia; Proboscidea; Elephantidae. The record is from Rfam by way of RNAcentral.